Molecule: ribosomal RNA, 253 nt
Filed under: uncultured bacterium
Lineage: Bacteria
Description: partial 16S ribosomal RNA
Rfam family: Bacterial small subunit ribosomal RNA
Source: RNAcentral
UACGUAGGGUGCGAGCGUUAAUCGGAAUUACUGGGCGUAAAGCGUGCGCAGGCGGUUUUGUAAGCCGGAUGUGAAAUCCCCGGGCUUAACCUGGGAAUGGCAUUCGGGACUGCAAGGCUGGAGUGCGGCAGAGGAGACUGGAAUUCCUGGUGUAGCAGUGAAAUGCGUAGAUAUCAGGAGGAACACCGAUGGCGAAGGCAGGUCUCUGGGACGGUACUGACGCUGAGACGCGAAAGCGUGGGGAGCGAACAGG